Molecule: long non-coding RNA, 508 nt
Filed under: Gouania willdenowi (blunt-snouted clingfish)
Lineage: Eukaryota; Metazoa; Chordata; Actinopteri; Blenniiformes; Gobiesocidae
Description: lncRNA (ENSGWIG00000012522.1)
Source: RNAcentral
AAUGAACUCAGAAGUCAGAGACCCUCGAUUGAUGACCCAAACACAAGAUGGGUAUUUGUCAUCAGGAGCAGCGAGUAUUGUGAGUUCUUUUUUGUGUGAUUAAAAACAUUCUAGUAAGAAUUCUGACCAUGUUUGAUAGUUAAUUGUGCUUUUCUUUAUCUUUGCCUUUUCCCAGCCAUCCUUCAAAAAUCCAAUAAGAUAACGGUCUUCCCCUUCAAGAUGGAUUUGAGUUACGUUCCUCCUGAGUUCUUCAGCGUCGACCCACCACCUCUGCAUCAGAACGUGCUAAUAGAUCAAUGGCUGUGCAGAACCUGCUCUGACUGACUGGAAAAGCAUCCCCAGCACUUUUGGAAGAAUACCCAGAGGCAACAAACCAGCAGCGUAGUCCAGGACAUCCCAGCACCACUGAGCUACACUAAAAGCGCAGAUCAACAAUUGUUACCCAAACUAGUGAUGAGUACCAGAGACAUUUGCAAUUUGCAACCUGAACCAUUCAAGUGCAGUGUAA